UUGCAUGCUCUCUCCCUCUCUCUUCUCUCUCUCUCUCGCAAUCAAGAAGAUCAUGUCAGGCGUGUGGGUGUUCAAGAACGGAGUGAUAAGGCUUGUGGAGAACCCUAACCAGUCAGGAGCCGACUCAUACAGCCGAAGGAAGGUCAUGGUCUAUUUACCGACAGGAGAAGUGGUCUCAUCUUAUUCGAUGCUCGAGCAGAUCCUCCAGAGUUGAAGCCUAGGCAGCAGCAACGUAAAGAGAUACCUGAUACAUUGAUCAGGUAGCUGGGCGGUUGCAUAUUUACAAGGAAGUCUCUGCUUGGUUGUAUUUUUCUUCUUCUAUAUAACCCAUAUGAUUACUGUUAUUAUGAUUAUUAUACACCUUUACCUAUUAUAUAAUUUUUGUUUUGUAUUUUGAUGAAAUUUUGUGAUUGGUACUUUCUGUAAUUUCAUUUGAAUUAAUGGGAUUUUAUAA
Brassica oleracea var. oleracea is the source of this 454-nucleotide long non-coding RNA. RefSeq lists it as uncharacterized. The transcript is spliced from 3 exons. The record is from RefSeq and is a predicted model, not a curated record. NCBI's taxonomy places the organism in Eukaryota, Viridiplantae, Streptophyta, Magnoliopsida, Brassicales, Brassicaceae.